Aplysia californica (California sea hare) is the source of this 1174-nucleotide long non-coding RNA. RefSeq lists it as uncharacterized. The record is from RefSeq and is a predicted model, not a curated record. NCBI's taxonomy places the organism in Eukaryota, Metazoa, Mollusca, Gastropoda, Aplysiida, Aplysiidae. The transcript has 2 exons.
UGCGUCAUUAUAAGACAAUGAUUGGAUUGCUACUACACUACUAAAACUCGUCUCAGUUCGAGCAUACUGAGAGAAGAGAGAGAGAGAGAGAGAGAGAGAGAGAGAGAGAGAGAGAGAGAGAGAGAGAGAGAGAGAGAGAGAGAGAGAGAGAGAGAGAUUAGUGGGAUGACUCAUGAAGUUAUCAUGACUGUUGUUUCAGUUUGGCCUCUGUCUCAGUCAGCCCUGUGAACUGUUAAGCCUUUACCGACCAAGCGACUGAAAUCCAAACCUUAAUUCUUUUAGUGCGAUCGGCAGACACAUACAUGCAUCUGAAUGAACAGAAACAGGCCAAAGACAAUGUUGCUGCACUUUUCGAGCUAUUAUAUAAUACAACAUUAUACACAAGUUAUAGACAGAUAGUUGCACAUUUAAUAGUACAAUAUGUAUGCAAGUUGUUGCUUGUUGCCCCGUUACGUUUCAGAUUUUAAAAAAGAAACCACACACAAACAAAAUUGAAAUAAAAAAAAAUACGAAUAACGCAGUUAUGCGAGGCUCAUUUUGUACGUGCCCCAAACCAGCGCUUUGUCCUGUGUUGUCGAACGACCAGAACGCAUGUCCUCAGUGAAUGGAAAAUGAGUCGCGCAUUCAGUGUCAUCGGAGCAAAACUUUUCUGGCAUCGUAGUUGUUGCAUGGGUUGUUGGAAAUUUCCGAAAUGUGUUUGGGGUUUCUUUCUGGGUCUGGAAGGUCGGACAUUGUGAAUUUGCCGUUUGUCUCAGAGGACUGGUAGAUUCAGGUUUAAUCCGUCGCGGAGUGUCUGAAUAAAGGUUAGUAUUGUUUCGUUGUUGUUCGCUUUUAACAUCCUUCUGGACAUAAUAUGUUGGAGCCGGCGUCUGUUGUGUCAUUUUUAAAGGUUUUCAUAUUUGCAUGUAAAAGACAUGUCCUUGUGUUCAUCUUCCAAGCCAGAAAGUCUAAAAAAAAAAAGUUGAGCUCACAGGUUUAUAGAGCUCACAUCCUAUUCUCUAACACAAAAAGAGCGUAGCAGCCUUUUGUUCUGUUAAAAGAAUGCUAGGUUGUUGGUGUUUUUUUGUGGGUUUUUUAAAGUGGUUUUUGUUGUUGUUGUUUUUGUUUGUUGUAGCAGUAGUUUACAAUUUGAUAUUUGACGCAGGAGUGGAACCUUUAUUCAAUUUCCAUUUUU